Molecule: ribosomal RNA, 589 nt
Filed under: uncultured Prevotella sp.
Lineage: Bacteria; Pseudomonadati; Bacteroidota; Bacteroidia; Bacteroidales; Prevotellaceae
Description: bacterial SSU rRNA
Rfam family: Bacterial small subunit ribosomal RNA
Source: RNAcentral
GACGAACGCUGGCGGCGUGCUUAACACAUGCAAGUCGAACGCUGAAGCCUAGCUUGCUGGGUGGAUGAGUGGCGAACGGGUGAGUAACACGUGAGUAACCUGCCCUCUUCUUUGGGAUAACGCCCGGAAACGGGUGCUAAUACUGGAUAUUCACUGAUCUUCGCAUGGGGGUUGGUGGAAAGGUUUUUUCUGGUGGGGGAUGGGCUCGCGGCCUAUCAGCUUGUUGGUGGGGUGAUGGCCUACCAAGGCUUUGACGGGUAGCCGGCCUGAGAGGGUGACCGGCCACAUUGGGACUGAGAUACGGCCCAGACUCCUACGGGAGGCAGCAGUGGGGAAUAUUGCACAAUGGGCGAAAGCCUGAUGCAGCGACGCCGCGUGAGGGAUGGAGACCUUCGGGUUGUAAACCUCUUUCGCUCAUGGUCAAGCCGCAGCUUUGGGUUGUGGUGAGGGUAGUGGGUAAAGAAGCGCCGGCUAACUACGUGCCAGCAGCCGCGGUGAUACGUAGGGCGCGAGCGUUGUCCGGAAUUAUUGGGCGUAAAGGGCUUGAAGGCGUUUGGCCACCACUGCCCUGAAAUCCUCUGGGUUAACU